Cucumis sativus (cucumber) is the source of this 323-nucleotide long non-coding RNA. RefSeq lists it as uncharacterized. The record is from RefSeq and is a predicted model, not a curated record. The transcript has 4 exons. Lineage: Eukaryota; Viridiplantae; Streptophyta; Magnoliopsida; Cucurbitales; Cucurbitaceae.
UUUGUUCGUUCAAAUUAGGAAAUCAAGGCCAAGGGAGAUGUCAUGGCUAUGGGCUGAAGCUUUGAGAAAAAGAGAAUGAAAAAUGAAAUGUUGAUGAGUUUCCAAUUUCAAAAGUCUACCUAAAGCUCUAUUGUUUGUUUAACUCAAAGGUAAAAAAAAGUAAAGUAUGUGGACUUGCACCGAAUAGAGCCAUGGAAUUGGUGCAAGGAUUUGAUCAAGAGGCUGCUGCAGUUGUUGUGGCAAGAUUAACUUCAUAAAAAAUGGAGAUGGAGGUUCAACCGGAGUCGACAACUUCAUGAGUUUUCUUUCAAAGAACAUUUUCA